GCAGUCGACGGUAACAGGUCUUCGGAUGCUGACGAGUGGCGAACGGGUGAGUAAUACAUCGGAACGUGCCCGAUCGUGGGGGAUAACGGAGCGAAAGCUUUGCUAAUACCGCAUACGAUCUACGGAUGAAAGCAGGGGACCGCAAGGCCUUGCGCGGACGGAGCGGCCGAUGGCAGAUUAGGUAGUUGGUGGGAUAAAAGCUUACCAAGCCGACGAUCUGUAGCUGGUCUGAGAGGACGACCAGCCACACUGGGACUGAGACACGGCCCAGACUCCUACGGGAGGCAGCAGUGGGGAAUUUUGGGCAAUGGGCGAAAGCCUGAUCCAGCCAUGCCGCGUGCAGGAUGAAGGCCUUCGGGUUGUAAACUGCUUUUGUACGGAACGAAAAGACUCCUUCUAAUAAAGGGGGUCCAUGACGGUACCGUAAGAAUAAGCACCGGCUAACUACGUGCCAGCAGCCGCGGUAAUACGUAGGGUGCAAGCGUUAAUCGGAAUUACUGGGCGUAAAGCGUGCGCAGGCGGUUAUAUAAGACAGAUGUGAAAUCCCCGGGCUCAACCUGGGAACUGCAUUUGUGACUGUAUAGCUAGAGUACGGUAGAGGGGG
This 604-nucleotide ribosomal RNA is filed under the name uncultured bacterium. Its description in RNAcentral is "bacterial SSU rRNA". It matches the Rfam family "Bacterial small subunit ribosomal RNA", at positions 57 to 660 of the family's 1533-position model. The record is from RNAcentral.